Molecule: long non-coding RNA, 2885 nt
Organism: Nymphaea colorata (pocket water lily)
Lineage: Eukaryota; Viridiplantae; Streptophyta; Magnoliopsida; Nymphaeales; Nymphaeaceae
Exons: 3
Source: RefSeq, a predicted model, not a curated record
CAACCACGACCCCAACCCGAGCUUUCGACGCCAUCUCCUUCUCCUCCACCUCUGCCCCCAUCUCCCCUGCCUUUCUCCUCUUCUCUGCCCCAAGCUGCCUUUCUCCUCCAUCUCCGCCCUCGUCUCCGCCCCCGAGCUGCCCCUAGGCCUUCCUGUUUCUCUCCUUCUCCUUGGUCGUCCGAGCUGCCCCUAGCCCUUCUUGUUUCUCUCCUUCUCCUCUGUCUCUGCUGGAGGGUGACCACCGCAGCAUCGCUUGCAGCUUCUCAGCGGGCGUCCUCAAGCAAAUCCUCAGCAGGGUGUCUUCCAGCAGGUCCUAAGCAGCGGCGUUCAGCAAGGCAGGGUGACCAUUGCAUUCCAGGACCAAGCAAAAGAGAAAAUUGGCAUCAUGACAGACCCGAGGCACAUCCACAAUGACAUGCACGGAGGUGGAUUCAGAUUCAAUCACAUACAGCUCAUGUUUUCAUGGUUUUCGUAACUUCUAAUACAUUUUUAUGGCAUUUCCAUUAAUUUCAUUUUCAACAUUUUAUUGGUUCAAAAAUAAAGGAAAAUGUUUUACCCUGCUUUCUGAAACACGCUGUAGUUGACAAGCCAAAGCCACGUCAGUCAGUUAACAUAUCAUGUGACAUGGAUGUGGAUAUAUAAUCAUGAUAUAAGCACACAGUAUACAUGGAUCAAAGCUCACCUGAUCUACCACUUAAAAUUAAAUUUCCAGCACACCAAAGUGUUUUUAGUUCAUGGGUCACUAGGUAACUAGAGAUUUUAAUUUUGUGGAGCCAGUGUUUUGAAUUAUGAACCACAAUAGCGAACUUGAUGACCAUUCUGCAAUAAGAUGGACAGUUGCAGAAAACAGCAGUAACAUCUAAAGAGAAAGACAAUGGGCUGUCAAAACAAUGAACAAAAGGUAUGAGAAUGAGGAACUUAAAAAACAUAGCAAGUUAAUGCACAUAUCUACACAACUCAAUCCACACAAAUAUAAACAACAAAAAUUUUCAUAAGAAACUCACUGCUCUUUGGCCCCCAAUCUCCCUAUCAUGUAGAUGAGGAUACUCAAAUUGGUUAUCAGCACAAGAAUAAAUAUACGAUAUCAUCAUGGUGCCUUCCGAUUGCUGCCUGUAACAUGGCAUAUAAUACUCUGGGUAGUCAUCCAAAUAAUCAUUCUUUUUUGUGUGGAAGGGAGGAAGAGAGCUGUUAUUCCAUCGCAAAGUUGCCAAGGUCACAUGGAGACAAGUGUGCAAAGUUUGACAGGAAGGGAAUUCCCUGUAUAGAAAUUCAACGGGGAAUUAGAUUUUGGUUUGGUUAAGUUUGAAAGGGUGUUGUUGUAAUUUUCUGUUACUACAGCAUUGCCCUAAACUCCAUGUUAAAAAGAGUCAGCAUUUUUUGCAUUUUUGUUUUGUUCAAAUAGUAGAGGUCCAGUGCUUGAAUGUAGGAAGGCCCUUAGUCUCUCUUGACCAUAUAAAUCCUUAUGUUUUGUAUGUUUUCUUCUUUUCUUGAGAGGGCAUGGCUCUUAGCACACAAGGAUACCAUCCAAGUUCCCUUGGGUGAUCAAUUGGCAAGGCAGUUGGUCCUUAAUUUUGAAAUUGUUACGUGUACUAGUAGAGUAACCAUGGGAAUUGAAUGAGUUGCAAAUCGAUUUGAUUCAUUGCCCAAUACAAGGUAUGUGUCAUAAACUACAUAUUUACUUUUUAUUAUUUUGUGAUGGUUUUAAAAUUUUCCUUAUUUGUUUUUUAUACUUUUAAUUUUGAAAAAUGUAUACAAUAAUAUAGUUUACUGAUUCAUAACCUGGUCAGUGAUUUGAAUUGGCGAAUUCACUGACAGGCUAGCUUUGUAGUUUGGUAGAUACAAUUCAAUUCUUGAUUUUAUUUUACAACAUUGAAUCAAAUAUCUGGUUCACACUCCUUAAAUGUUCGUGAUAUUGAAAUGAACUUUUUUCCUUUUCACUAUUAUUAUAUUUUUCAACGAGGCAUAUGGAGAGUACUUCAACAACAGGUUGCAUAUUAUCUAGCUGGAGGCUUCCAGUUGUUAAAACUCUUAAGAUUCCACCAGACUUAACCAGAAGUAUUCUCAGUUUUGGCCUUCACCGCGAAAGACAGAAUGCCUUCAAUUAGUUCAAUUAGACUUCUGUUUUCUUCCUCUUAUUGUAUACAAAAUUGGUUUCUUUGUCGCCUUCCUAGGCCAUGACAGGCUUUAAUGGCCACUAGCAUGGAUCAAGAAUUUGAAUUUCGAGCAAAAUGCAACAACAUUUGAAAUAGAUCUAGUUGGUGGUGCAUUGAAUGGUAAAUUGAAUCCACCAAAAGCUCGGCUCCUAGAAUGAGUUAACAUUGCCAUUGUGUGGGAGGGAAUAAACUUUGUUGUUCCAUAUUGCUGCAACAUUCUCCUCAACAUUUUGCCAAUAGGUGACUUGGGUUUAUCAUCUGGUAGCAGAUUCUUGAUGACUGCUCAAGUGGCUUAAUCGCAUCUAGCACAAACGUGCAAUCGAUGCGUCCUCUGUCAGGCCUUUGAUGAGAUUAGCAGCUUCAUGUUUUAACAUUGAAUGAAUGUCGCCGGUGUCCUUUCCCCCUAGAAUUUGGCAUCAAGGAAUCAUGAGUUCCUGUUGAUUUUGAAGGGUACAUCAACAACAGCUCUUGGCCACACAGUUCAUCUGAGUUUGACGAAUCUCUACAUUUCAAGUACUACAUGAGUAUGUGAUCAUAGCUGCUAUAGAAGAAUGCGUAACCCAUGGCCUAUACGCAAUGCCCAAGAACAAGAGAAAGAGUGAGAGAGGAAACAGACAACCUUGGUUGCUUACCAUUUGUCGACAUGAAGGCGGAGCCUUUUCUUCAGUGUUUUAUUGAAGAACAGAAGAGCAAGAAGAAAAAAAAAAGAAGAAAAUUGUAAUGUUGCCUACC